UGUGAACGCUGGCGGUAGGCCUAACACAUGCCAGUCGAACGGCAGCACAGUAAGAGCUUGCUCUUACGGGUGGCGAGUGGCGGACGGGUGAGGAAUACAUCGGAAUCUACUUUUUCGUGGGGGAUAACGUAGGGAAACUUACGCUAAUACCGCAUACGACCUACGGGUGAAAGCAGGGGAUCUUCGGACCUUGCGCGAUUGAAUGAGCCGAUGUCGGAUUAGCUAGUUGGCGGGGUAAAGGCCCACCAAGGCGACGAUCCGUAGCUGGUCUGAGAGGAUGAUCAGCCACACUGGAACUGAGACACGGUCCAGACUCCUACGGGAGGCAGCAGUGGGGAAUAUUGGACAAUGGGCGCAAGCCUGAUCCAGCCAUACCGCGUGGGUGAAGAAGGCCUUCGGGUUGUAAAGCCCUUUUGUUGGGAAAGAAAAGCAGCAGGUUAAUACCCCGCUGUUCUGACGGUACCCGAAGAAUAAGCACCGGCUAACUUCGUG
RNAcentral lists this ribosomal RNA (492 nucleotides) under uncultured bacterium. RNAcentral's name for it is "partial 16S ribosomal RNA". It matches the Rfam family "Bacterial small subunit ribosomal RNA", at positions 29 to 507 of the family's 1533-position model. The record is from RNAcentral.